Molecule: long non-coding RNA, 508 nt
Filed under: Gadus morhua (Atlantic cod)
Lineage: Eukaryota; Metazoa; Chordata; Actinopteri; Gadiformes; Gadidae
Description: lncRNA (ENSGMOG00000029511.1)
Source: RNAcentral
AUGCCCCGCUCCUUCCUCGUGAAGCCUACCGGACGCCGCGCGCUCCGUGACUCUGUUGACCGAGCCGAUCACGAGCGUGCGGACCCGGAGCCCCGGUGUGCGCGCGGACAGAUGCUCGUCCCUGUGUUUGACGUGCCUCCCGCCGCGACGGGGGGGCCUGGGGCAGAGUGGGGCCCGUCACAACCCUGGACUCAAAUGGAUACCAGACCGACCAGAACCGAAAGGACCGACCGGACCGCCUCGGCGAACUGGCCCGACGUCCAGGUACUUCAGACCCAGAGGGAGAGGGAUCUGGAGCAGCUGGUGUUGGUGCUGUUGGACCACGCCUCGCACGCCGCUCUGGCGCCGCGACUCAGCGCCUGCACGCACUGCGAGGAGGUAGGAGCGCCGUUACACCACCCUUCUGGACGCUACGUCACGGGGGGGCGGAGGAGAGGAGCAGGCGGGGGAGGCGAGGGGGGAGGGCUGCGAGGAGAGGAGUCAUUUAUGUCGUGCUGUCACUCACAUA